GAUGAAGAACGUAGCGAAAUGCGAUAAGUAAUGUGAAUUGCAGAAUUCAGUGAAUCAUCGAGUCUUUGAACGCACAUUGCGCCCCCUGGUAUUCCGGGGGGCAUGCCUGUCCGAGCGUCAUUGUUGCCCUCAAGCACGGCUUGUGUGUUGGGCCCCCGUCCCCGGUUUCCCCCGGGGACGGGCCCGAAAGGCAGCGGCGGCACCGCGUCCGGUCCUCGAGCGUAUGGGGCUUUGUCACCCGCUCUGUAGGCCCGGCCGGCGCCAGCCGACACCCAACUUUAUUUCUAAGGUUGACCUCGGAUCAGGUAGGGAUACCCGCUGAACUUAAGCAUAUCAAUAGCGGAGGA
Molecule: unclassified non-coding RNA, 347 nt
Filed under: soil metagenome
Description: partial contains 5.8S ribosomal RNA, internal transcribed spacer 2, and large subunit ribosomal RNA
Rfam family: 5.8S ribosomal RNA (bases 1-120)
Source: RNAcentral